This 253-nucleotide ribosomal RNA is filed under the name uncultured bacterium. RNAcentral describes it as "partial 16S ribosomal RNA". It matches the Rfam family "Bacterial small subunit ribosomal RNA", at positions 524 to 776 of the family's 1533-position model. The record is from RNAcentral.
UACGGAGGGUGCAAGCGUUAUCCGGAUUCACUGGGUUUAAAGGGUGCGUAGGUGGGCAGGUAAGUCAGUGGUGAAAUCUCCGAGCUUAACUCGGAAACUGCCAUUGAUACUAUCUGUCUUGAAUAUCCUGGAGGUGAGCGGAAUAUGUCAUGUAGCGGUGAAAUGCUUAGAUAUGACAUAGAACACCAAUUGCGAAGGCAGCUCACUACGGAUGUAUUGACACUGAGGCACGAAAGCGUGGGGAUCAAACAGG